Molecule: small nuclear RNA, 19 nt
Filed under: Arabidopsis thaliana (thale cress)
Lineage: Eukaryota; Viridiplantae; Streptophyta; Magnoliopsida; Brassicales; Brassicaceae
Description: snRNA_05157
Source: RNAcentral
UCCGACUUUGUGAAAUGAC